AACGAACGCUGGCGGCAUGCCUAACACAUGCAAGUCGAACGAGACCUUCGGGUCUAGUGGCGCACGGGUGCGUAACGCGUGGGAACCUGCCCUUAGGUUCGGAAUAACUCCCCGAAAGGGGUGCUAAUACCGGAUAAUGUCUUCGGACCAAAGAUUUAUGGCCUUUGGAUGGGCCCGCGUUGGAUUAGCUAGUUGGUAGGGUAAAAGCCUAUCAAGGCGACGAUCCAUAGCUGGUCUGAGAGGAUGAUCAGCCACACUGGGACUGAGACACGGCCCAGACUCCUACGGGAGGCAGGAGAGGGGAAUAUUGGACAAUGGGCGAAAGCCUGAUCCAGCAAUGCCGCGUGAGUGAUGAAGGGCUUAGGGUUGUAAAGCUCUUUUACCCGGGAUGAUAAUGACAGUACCGGGAGAAUAAGCUCCGGCUAACUCCGUG
This 433-nucleotide ribosomal RNA is filed under the name uncultured bacterium. RNAcentral's name for it is "partial 16S ribosomal RNA". It matches the Rfam family "Bacterial small subunit ribosomal RNA", at positions 29 to 507 of the family's 1533-position model. The record is from RNAcentral.